Molecule: long non-coding RNA, 3499 nt
Filed under: Oncorhynchus kisutch (coho salmon)
Lineage: Eukaryota; Metazoa; Chordata; Actinopteri; Salmoniformes; Salmonidae
Description: lncRNA (ENSOKIG00005040608.1)
Source: RNAcentral
GGGCGGAAAUGGAGCGAGGUAAUUGGCUACUGGGUCCGUUUUGGGGAGGGUCCACACGUGUGAAACCUUAGAGUAAGGCGUGGUCUCGUGGAAACAAAUGGCAUGUAUAAAAUAAAACAUCUAUAAAAUUGACAAUUUUACUCCCUCGCAUGAGAGACGUGACUCAAGGGAAGAUGGUGUUGAAGGAGUCAUAAACGACAUCGUGACGACAUCGUGAAAAGCAAUAUGUUGUUUAGGAGAGCAGCGGAUCCAAGGGAUUAACGGGACUAUUGCGCAUGGAGUCAUAGGGCAUGUUGCAAAAACUAUUCGGAUCUGAAGUUGUAUUUCGACGGAAGAAUAGUGCAACCACACAAGCAUAUAUAUAUAUAUAUAUAUAUAUAUAUAUAUAUAUAUAUUAAUGUAAAAAACUAAGUAGUAAUACUGUAGUGUAAAGGGCCUGUUAUGCGUCGUAUUUCGUCCCAUGAUGUUAAUUCGGGCUCAUUCGGCGUUAAACGCGACAAACUAGUAAAGCCGAGUUGUGGUUUGCUACUAUAUGUCAAAAACGAUGUCCAACUUCUUCUGAAACAAUGGAAUUACAUUGUAAUUGUCACCAGUGGAUUGUCACCAGUGGUGUAGAAUAUAAAACUGUGUGUGCUACUGCCGAUCGCUAGAGAUCUGAUACUGUACACAUAACGUGGCCAAAUAUAAAUAACAUAUGCUUCUUCCAAAGACUCACGACACUAAAAUACUAAAAACUAAAACUUUGUUAGGUUUAUACAUUUCACACAAACAUAUCAUGUUUUCCCUUAUCGUAUAUAAAAUAGGGUGACAAAAUACCCAUGAGCCUACUUAAGGAAAUAAACAUAUUUGGUUUAUUUACUUGUCUGCAGUCUAGAUCUUUUGGCAAUAACGAUGUAUACAUUGGACAGAGAAAAACAAAAACAAAUGGCCACUGAAACUUCUGUAAAACAACUCGAGCCCAAGUCUAGUGGUAUAGCCUCCCUCCAUAUAAUAACGCCAAGAGGAGAGACACCUCUCUGGCGGUUACAAUCCAUCUAAAUGUCAUCUGCGGAUAUUCCAGUUGUUUUAAAGUGACAAGAAGCAAUAGAACUUCAAAUAACAAAAGCCCGUGCGACUUCCUUUUGCAAGUGAAAAGAGGUGACGUUGCGCAUAGAAUGGCACUCAUCAGCCUAGUUCAGCCGCAGCAUAGCUACCGUGGGAACCGGACGGCUGCGAUUGUAAAUUGUUGUCGCGCCUUGCUGGCCUGGAAACCACACAAGCAUGGAUGGAUAGAGGAUAAAGCAGCUCACACCUCUGUUGACCAGGGACUGAAACAGAAAGGGGGCCAGGGGACGGUUUGAGUUACCAGGUGACCUUGAGCAGUGGGUCACGCUACACCACCAGUCCCAGAGGUGAGUGGUGGGUCACGUUACACCACCAGUCCCAGAGGUGGGUCACGUUACACCACCAGUCCCAGAGGUGGGUCACGUUACACCACCAGUCCCAGAGGUGGGUCACGUUACACCACCAGUCCCAGAGGUGAGCGGUGGGUCACGUUACACCACCAGUCCCAGAGGUGAGCGGUGGGUCACAUUACACCACCAGUCCCAGAGGUAAGCUGUCGGUCACGUUACACCACCAGUCCCAGAGGUGGGUCACGUUACACCACCAGUCCCAGAGGUGGGUCACGUUACACCACCAGUCCCAGAGGUGGGUCACGUUACACCACCAGUCCCAGAGGUGGGUCACGUUACACCACCAGUCCCAGAGGUGAGCGGUCGGUCACGUUACACCACCAGUCCCAGAGGUGGGUCACGUUACACCACCAGUCCCAGAGGUGGGUCACGUUACACCACCAGUCCCAGAGGUGAGCGGUGGGUCACGUUACACCACCAGUCCCAGAGGUGAGCGGUGGGUCACGUUACACCACCAGUCCCAGAGGUGAGCGGUGGGUCACAUUACACCACCAGUCCCAGAGGUAAGCGGUCGGUCACGUUACACCACCAGUCCCAGAGGUGGGUCACGUUACACCACCAGUCCCAGAGGUGGGUCACGCUACACCACCAGUCCCUGAGGUGAGCGGUCGGUCACGUUACACCACCAGUCCCAGAGGUGGGUCACGUUACACCACCAGUCCCAGAGGUGGGUCACGUUACACCACCAGUCCCAGAGGGGGGUCACGUUACACCACCAGUCCCAGAGGUGAGCAGUGGGUCACGUUACAACACCAGUCCCAGAGGUGAAGUCAAGUAAACCACUAUCACCAUCCAAUAUGAGAAGUGCCUCCAGACAACUUAGGUGAGUAAUAGUCUUUAGAUUGCCUAAAAGUCAAUGAAGACCUCCUGUUGAAAUAGAGCAAUAAGAUCAGCACAUAAUAGCCAUAGACAUCCAAAACGUUAUGCUAAUAAUUCAAGAAAAGUAAGAAAACAAACUAAGAUGUUGGCUACACCUCAUCUCAGGCUGGUUGAAGCCUGUCUACCACCAUCCUAAGAUAAGGAUGAAAUAAAUAAUUGACAGAAAUACGGAACGCCAUCAGUGAUAACGAGAGUUACCUUUUUAUAAAACAACUUAUUUCAUAAUCAACAAUAAAAUACAGGAUUCACAGAAUAUAGAAUAGUAUGAAGCCCCUUGUCACUUAUGGAAAAGUAGUUAAAAUCAAACCGAGUUUAAGAUGAAGAACAUAUACCGUACCAGUUAAGUUUUAGAACACCUACUCAUUCCAUUUUUUUAAAUAUUUUUUUUACUAUUUUCUACAAUGUAGAAUAAUAGAAGACAUCAAAACUAUUAAAUAACACAUAUGGAAUCUUUAGUAACCAAGGAGAGUGAUGGGAGUGCUGCAUCAGAUGACCUGGCCUCCAAUUACCCGACCUCAACCCAAUUGAGAUGGUUUGGGAUAAGUUGGACCGCAGAGUGAAGGAAAAGCAGCCAACAAGUGCUCAGAAUGUGGGAACUCCUUCAAGACUGUUGGAAAAGCAUUCCUCAUGAAGCUGGUUGAGAGAAUACCAAAACUGUGCAAAGCUGUUAUCAAGACAAAGGAUGGCUACUUUGAAGAAUCUUAAAUCUAAAAUAUAUUUUUAUUUGUUUAACACUUUUUUGGUUACUACAUGAUUCCAUAUGUGUUAUUUCAUAGUUUUGAUGUCUUCACUAUUAUUCUACAAUGUAGAAAAAAAAAAAAAACUUGAAUGAGUAGAUGUGUCUAAACUUUUGACUGGUACUGUGUCUUCAUAAAACAUAUACUCGGAAAAAAGCUUCCCAGACAGUAGACCGCAGACAGAACCAGAUCCAUUCACACAUAAAAAGACAAACCAGUCUUUCAACUCAUAAUAACAUAUGGCUUCAAAACUGAAGGAAAUUUGAAAGUCAAAUUUGUGUUAAUUCCAUUGUAAUAACAUAACCGUCUGUAGAACGGAACGUAGUAAACUAGGAAGAUAAAGUUUGACGAAAUGGAAAAGCACCAAAAUAGGUGUGUGAAGACAGUAAUCAGUAUAGUAGGCCUAGUUCAGUCAGCGGCCAUUUUGAU